This 301-nucleotide ribosomal RNA is filed under the name uncultured bacterium. RNAcentral describes it as "partial 16S ribosomal RNA". It matches the Rfam family "Bacterial small subunit ribosomal RNA", at positions 509 to 807 of the family's 1533-position model. The record is from RNAcentral.
CAGUAGCCGCGGUAAUACAGAGGGUGCAAGCGUUAAUCGGAAUUACUGGGCGUAAAGCGCGCGUAGGUGGUUCGCCAAGUUGGAUGUGAAAUCCCCGGGCUCAACCUGGGAGCUGCAUCCAAAACUGGCGAGCUAGAGUGUGUCAGAGGAUGGUGGAAUUCCCGGUGUAGCGGUGAAAUGCGUAGAGAUCGGGAGGAACAUCAGUGGCGAAGGCGGCCAUCUGGGACAACACUGACGCUGAGGCACGAAAGCGUGGGGAGCAAACAGGAUUAGAGACCCCCGUAGUCCCUGUCUCUUAUAC